UUUUAGCCCCGAUAGUAGCGUCAUCCUUUUUACGUCAGUUCGAGUUUUUGCGAAGCAAAAGUAUCGAGAACAAGUAAAAAGAUACAGCGAAUAGCGGGAAAUUGC
This 105-nucleotide small RNA is filed under the name Flavobacterium terrae. RNAcentral's name for it is "Flavo-1 RNA". It matches the Rfam family "Flavo-1 RNA". Lineage: Bacteria; Pseudomonadati; Bacteroidota; Flavobacteriia; Flavobacteriales; Flavobacteriaceae. The record is from Rfam by way of RNAcentral.